RNAcentral lists this ribosomal RNA (1125 nucleotides) under Epidapus absconditus. RNAcentral's name for it is "eukaryotic LSU rRNA". It matches the Rfam family "Eukaryotic large subunit ribosomal RNA", at positions 682 to 1659 of the family's 3401-position model. The record is from RNAcentral. Lineage: Eukaryota; Metazoa; Arthropoda; Insecta; Diptera; Sciaridae.
GUGUGCGAGUCAUUGGGUAUUUUGUUGAAACCUAAGGGCGCAAUUAAAAUAACUAUUUUAUGGGAUUACAAGUGAAUUAAAUUUCAUUUCUCCAUCCCGGGGCGUUCUAUACGAACAUGGUUUAAGCAAUUGAACCCUCUGUUCAAGAGCGUACCUUGAGCAUACAUGCUGUGACCCGAAAGAUGGUGAACUAUACCUGAUCAGAUCGAAGCCAGGAGAAAUUCUGGUGGAGGAUCGAAACAGUUCUGACGUGCAAAUCGAUUGUCAGAAUUGGGUAUAGGGGCGAAAGACCAAUCGAACCAUCUAGUAGCUGGUUCCCUCCGAAGUUUCCCUCAGGAUAGCUGGCGCAAAUAAUUAUAUUUUAUAUAAUCUUAUCUGGUAAAGCGAAUGAUUAGAGGCCUUGGGGCCGAAACGACCUCAACCUAUUCUCAAACUUUAAAUGGGUAAGAACCUCAUCUUUCUUGAUCUGAAGAUAUUGGGGUUUAGAUAUAUUGUGCCCAGUGGGCCACUUUUGGUAAGCAGAACUGGCGCUGUGGGAUGAACCCAAACAUGAUGUUACGGCGCCUAAAUUAAUGACUCAUAUUGAUACCAUGAAAGGCGUUGGUUGCUUAAAACAGCAGGACGGUGGACAUGGAAGUCGUAAUCCGCUAAGGAGUGUGUAACAACUCACCUGCCGAAGCAACUAGCCCUUAAAAUGGAUGGCGCUCAAGUCAUAUGCCUAUACAUCAUCGCUAGAAUAAAAAUUGUUGGCCAUUUUUGGUCAUCAUUAUGAAAUUCUAGUGAGUAGGAGGGUACAAUGGUGUGCGCAGAAGUGUUUGGCGUGAGCCUGCAUGAAGCCGCCAUUGGCACAGAUCUUGGUGGUAGUAGCAAAUAAUCGAAUGAGAUCUUGGAGGACUGAAGUGGAGAAGGGUUUCGUGUGAACAGUGGUUGAUCACGAGUUAGUCGGUCCUAAGCUUUAUGCGAAAGCUGUUUAAUUUAUGUUACACACAAAUAUACUAUUUUAUUGUUGUACAUAAUUCAAUAAAAGCGAAAGGGAAUACGGUUCCAAUUCCGUAACCUGUUGAGUAUACGUUUGUUUAUUAAAAAUGGGUCUUAUUACACUCAUCCUGGCAACAGGAACGACCA